Molecule: ribosomal RNA, 429 nt
Filed under: Bacteroidota bacterium
Lineage: Bacteria; Pseudomonadati; Bacteroidota
Description: Bacteroidetes bacterium partial 16S ribosomal RNA
Rfam family: Bacterial small subunit ribosomal RNA
Source: RNAcentral
UAGGGAAUCUUCCGCAAUGGGCGAAAGCCUGACGGAGCAACGCCGCGUGAGUGAUGAAGGUCUUCGGAUCGUAAAACUCUGUUAUUAGGGAAGAACAAAUGUGUAAGUAACUAUGCACGUCUUGACGGUACCUAAUCAGAAAGCCACGGCUAACUACGUGCCAGCAGCCGCGGUAAUUCGUAGGUGGCAAGCGUUAUCCGGAAUUAUUGGGCGUAAAGCGCGCGUAGGCGGUUUUUUAAGUCUGAUGUGAAAGCCCACGGCUCAACCGUGGAGGGUCAUUGGAAACUGGAAAACUUGAGUGCAGAAGAGGAAAGUGGAAUUCCAUGUGUAGCGGUGAAAUGCGCAGAGAUAUGGAGGAACACCAGUGGCGAAGGCGACUUUCUGGUCUGUAACUGACGCUGAUGUGCGAAAGCGUGGGGAUCAAACAGG